This 183-nucleotide long non-coding RNA is filed under the name Monodelphis domestica (gray short-tailed opossum). Its description in RNAcentral is "lncRNA (ENSMODG00000036355.2)". The record is from RNAcentral. Lineage: Eukaryota; Metazoa; Chordata; Mammalia; Didelphimorphia; Didelphidae.
CUGAGAUACUCAUCUUUUCCAUCUCCUGGUGACUAGACAUUCUCCCCUGCCCCCAAUCCCCAACUGAAGGAAGGAGGAUCUGAAGAAAGACAUUUUGAGCUUUUGUCAAAACUUUACCUCACAGCUCCUGCUGCCCUGGGUCUGAACUGUGGCCAAGGGGCCAAAUCCAGGAGACUACUAUAG